Molecule: ribosomal RNA, 380 nt
Filed under: uncultured bacterium
Lineage: Bacteria
Description: bacterial SSU rRNA
Rfam family: Bacterial small subunit ribosomal RNA
Source: RNAcentral
GAUGAACGCUAGCGGCAGGCCUAACACAUGCAAGUCGAGGGGCAGCACGUCUUCGGAUGGUGGCGACCGGCGCACGGGUGCGUAACGCGUAUGCAACCUACCUCUUACAGUGGGAUAGCCCAGAGAAAUUUGGAUUAAUACCGCAUAGUAUACAGAUUCAGCAUUGGGACUGUAUUAAACAUUUAUGGGUAAGAGAUGGGCAUGCGUUCUAUUAGUUAGUUGGAGUGGUAACGGCACCCCAAGACAGCGAUAGAUAGGGCCCUGAGAGGGGGAUCCCCCACACUGGUACUGAGACACGGACCAGACUCCCUACGGGAGGCAGCAGUGAGGAAUAUUGGACAAUGGGCGAGAGCCUGAUCCAGCCAUGCCGCGUGAGGGAA